UACGUAGGGGGCUAGCGUUGUCCGGAUUUAUUGGGCGUAAAGAGCGUGUAGGCGGCCAUGUAGGUCCGGUGUGAAAACUCGAGGCUUAACCUCGAGAUGUCAUCGGAAACCAUUUGGCUAGAGUCCGGAAGAGGAGAGUGGAAUUCCUGGUGUAGUGGUGAAAUGCGUAGAUAUCGGGAGGAACACCAGUGGCGAAGGCGACUACCUGGCCUGUUCUUGACGCUGAGGCGCGAAAGCUAGGGGAGCAAACGGG
Molecule: ribosomal RNA, 253 nt
Filed under: uncultured bacterium
Lineage: Bacteria
Description: partial 16S ribosomal RNA
Rfam family: Bacterial small subunit ribosomal RNA
Source: RNAcentral